GAUCCAGUGACAAAACAACGAAUUGGAAUUGGAGUCAAAAUGUAUAGAGAAAUGUAGAAAGUGCAGCUAGAGUUUUAUAAAGUUUUUGUAUUCUGGUUUUAUUCAGAUUCAGUAGACCAGAUAAUGUCUGAAACACAUGAACUUAAAGGUUCUACAGUUGCUGUGGACUUCAUGACUCCAAACGUGUCUUAUUUAAUGUGCUACUUCCAACUUGUAUUGAAAAUUGAAUUCUCUGUUAAGGUGAUGGUAGACCUGCAUGUUCCGCCUGAGAUAAUUUGUUUAUGCAAAUGGUAGUAGUUGUGUUUGUUAUAUAGGAGUAAUGCUUCGUUAGCAUUUUAAAAACAAAUUUCCUUAUUGGCUAAAAUGGCAAAACAAAGAGAUAAAAUGUUCUGUCU
Quercus robur (English oak) is the source of this 395-nucleotide long non-coding RNA. RefSeq lists it as uncharacterized. The record is from RefSeq and is a predicted model, not a curated record. The transcript has 2 exons. Lineage: Eukaryota; Viridiplantae; Streptophyta; Magnoliopsida; Fagales; Fagaceae.